UUCCAUACUAAUCAACGAAAUUAAACAUAUAAGUGCAUGAAGUUGAAUUUAGAAUUCUUGGACCAAUAUAAAAUGGUCCACAAAAAUUUGAAGUUCAUCAAGUGCCUGAUUUGAUAGUAUGAAAUAAGCAACACAGGAAAUGAAAAGUCGUUGCAAGCACCAGGCAACAAAAGAAGGAAGCAGGAACAAGAUAUCCAUAUAUCCAUCACAUCAGUGAAUGUGAAAUUCUUUCCCACCCUUGGUUAAUCCAAAGGGGCUAGUUGACAGCGGCUCAUAAGGGAAUUCCGUUAGAAGUCUCUGGACCUCUCUCUUUCGAGGCCUCCU
RNAcentral lists this long non-coding RNA (324 nucleotides) under Amborella trichopoda. Its description in RNAcentral is "long non-coding RNA (ATRI_LNC004534)". Lineage: Eukaryota; Viridiplantae; Streptophyta; Magnoliopsida; Amborellales; Amborellaceae. The record is from RNAcentral.